This 486-nucleotide ribosomal RNA is filed under the name uncultured bacterium. RNAcentral describes it as "partial 16S ribosomal RNA". It matches the Rfam family "Bacterial small subunit ribosomal RNA", at positions 30 to 507 of the family's 1533-position model. The record is from RNAcentral.
AUUGGACGCUGGCGGCAUGCCUUACACAUGCAAGUCGAGCGGCAGCACGGGUGCUUGCACCUGGUGGCGAGUGGCGAACGGGUGAGUAAUACAUCGGAACAUGUCCUGUAGUGGGGGAUAGCCCGGCGAAAGCCGGAUUAAUACCGCAUACGAUCUACGGAUGAAAGCGGGGGACCUUCGGGCCUCGCGCUAUAGGGUUGGCCGAUGGCUGAUUAGCUAGUUGGUGGGGUAAAGGCCUACCAAGGCGACGAUCAGUAGCUGGUCUGAGAGGACGACCAGCCACACUGGGACUGAGACACGGCCCAGACUCCUACGGGAGGCAGCAGUGGGGAAUUUUGGACAAUGGGCGAAAGCCUGAUCCAGCAAUGCCGCGUGUGUGAAGAAGGCCUUCGGGUUGUAAAGCACUUUUGUCCGGAAAGAAAUCCUUGGCCCUAAUACGGUCGGGGGAUGACGGUACCGGAAGAAUAAGCACCGGCUAACUACGUG